GGAGGGUACAGCUCAGUGGUAGAGUGCAGUGCUUAGCAUGCACGAGGUCCUGGGUUCAAGCCCCAGGACCUCUG
Camelus ferus (Wild Bactrian camel) is the source of this 74-nucleotide non-coding RNA. The record is from Rfam. Lineage: Eukaryota; Metazoa; Chordata; Mammalia; Artiodactyla; Camelidae.